CUGAAUUCUCAUCAGCUAAAACACCAUGGAAAGGCUUCUUCAAGCUGGUUCUUCAUAUUUUAUUACAAGAGAAGACCAUGAAGCAGCGAAUCGCACUCUAGAAGUUUAAUGCGCGUUAGAGGUGGUUUGUCGUCGGUGGUAAUCCACAGACUUAGGCGAAUCGGUGGCGGAGUUUCACGAUGACCACAAGUUUACGAAUUGUUUUUAGUUGGUGGUUUUUAUUUAAUUAUGGAUUAUUUCUAGGGGUUUUGUAAUUAAGGGACUCUCCGGACUGUUUGGUUUUAUUUUGGAUUUGGAUUUUCGAAUUAACUCUUUAUUUGCGACGGUUGGCUAAAAAGUGGUUUUUACUAAACAAAGGC
Long non-coding RNA from Gossypium raimondii (Peruvian cotton), 359 nucleotides. RefSeq lists it as uncharacterized. Lineage: Eukaryota; Viridiplantae; Streptophyta; Magnoliopsida; Malvales; Malvaceae. The record is from RefSeq and is a predicted model, not a curated record. The transcript has 3 exons.